This 465-nucleotide ribosomal RNA is filed under the name uncultured bacterium. RNAcentral describes it as "partial 16S ribosomal RNA". It matches the Rfam family "Bacterial small subunit ribosomal RNA", at positions 28 to 507 of the family's 1533-position model. The record is from RNAcentral.
GAUGAACGCUGGCGGCGUGCUUAACACAUGCAAGUCGAACGGAAAGGCUCCUGCUUGCAGGGGUACUCGAGUGGCGAACGGGUGAGUAACACGUGGGUGAUCUGCCCUGCACUUCGGGAUAAGCCUGGGAAACUGGGUCUAAUACCGGAUAGGACGAUGGUUUGGAUGCCAUUGUGGAAAGUUUUUCGGUGUGGGUUGAGCUCGCGGCCUAUCAGCUUGUUGGUGGGGUAAUGGCUUACCAAGGGGUCGACGGGUAGUCGGCCUGAGAGGGUGUACGGCCACAUUGGGACUGAGAUACGGCCCAGACGCCUACGGGAGGCAGCAGUGGGGAAUAUUGCACAAUGGGCGCAAGCCUGAUGCAGCGACGCCGCGUGGGGGAUGACGGCCUUCGGGUUGUAAACUCCUUUCGCUAGGGACGAAGCGCAAGUGACGGUACCUGGAGAAGAAGCACCGGCUAACUACGUG